Molecule: transfer RNA, 75 nt
Filed under: Patescibacteria group bacterium
Lineage: Bacteria
Description: tRNA-Lys
Rfam family: tRNA
About the family: Transfer RNA (tRNA) molecules are approximately 80 nucleotides in length. Their secondary structure includes four short double-helical elements and three loops (D, anti-codon, and T loops). Further hydrogen bonds mediate the characteristic L-shaped molecular structure. tRNAs have two regions of fundamental functional importance: the anti-codon, which is responsible for specific mRNA codon recognition, and the 3' end, to which the tRNAs corresponding amino acid is attached (by aminoacyl-tRNA synthetases). tRNAs cope with the degeneracy of the genetic code in two manners: having more than one tRNA (with a specific anti-codon) for a particular amino acid; and 'wobble' base-pairing, i.e. permitting non-standard base-pairing at the 3rd anti-codon position.
Source: RNAcentral
GGGGUCAAGGUGUUAUGGCUGCAUUUUCGCCUCUUAAGCGAUUAGGUUUCGGUUCAAAUCCGAAUGACCCCACCA